GCUAAGCAUUGUGCACCUUACCUCCUUUAAGCCCCUUGACCCUUGCAGCCCUACGUGGCAAGGAACUGAUGUCUCCAGCCAGGAGCCAGGGAGGGCUGCCUGAGAUCCAGCAGCCACGUGAGCGAGCCUGGAAGGGCUCAGGGACCUAGCAGGGCUUGGAGUGGCAACCAUUCAUCCUACAAACAUGGCUGCAUCAGGGAGAGAUGAACAAGACGCUGCCUUCACCCAGGAACAUGAUAUCUUUGGGGGCUCUUUACAGGGACCCUCACCCCAGAUGCAGUGUUCAGCCAUCAGGCCAGAGCUGAGAAUGCAUCUUCCCUGCAGUAAUUUUUGCCCAAAGCCAGGAGUUUAGAAGAACAUGAGUAUGUUUUUCUUU
Pteropus alecto (black flying fox) is the source of this 376-nucleotide long non-coding RNA. RefSeq lists it as uncharacterized. The transcript has 3 exons. Lineage: Eukaryota; Metazoa; Chordata; Mammalia; Chiroptera; Pteropodidae. The record is from RefSeq and is a predicted model, not a curated record.